AUGAACGCUGGCGGCGUGCCUAAUACAUGCAAGUCGAGCGAACAGACGAGGAGCUUGCUCCUCUGACGUGAGCGGCGGACGGGUGAGUAACACGUGGAUAACCUACCUAUAAGACUGGGAUAACUUCGGGAAACCGGAGCUAAUACCGGAUAAUAUAUUGAACCGCAUGGUUCAAUAGUGAAAGACGGUUUUGCUGUCACUUAUAGAUGGAUCCGCGCCGCAUUAGCUAGUUGGUAAGGUAACGGCUUACCAAGGCAACGAUGCGUAGCCGACCUGAGAGGGUGAUCGGCCACACUGGAACUGAGACACGGUCCAGACUCCUACGGGAGGCAGCAGUAGGGAAUCUUCCGCAAUGGGCGAAAGCCUGACGGAGCAACGCCGCGUGAGUGAUGAAGGUCUUCGGAUCGUAAAACUCUGUUAUUAGGGAAGAACAAAUGUGUAAGUAACUAUGCACGUCUUGACGGUACCUAAUCAGAAAGCCACGGCUAACUACGUG
Molecule: ribosomal RNA, 496 nt
Filed under: uncultured bacterium
Lineage: Bacteria
Description: partial 16S ribosomal RNA
Rfam family: Bacterial small subunit ribosomal RNA
Source: RNAcentral